GACGAACGCUGGCGGCGUGCCUAAUACAUGCAAGUAGAACGCUGAAGGAGGAGCUUGCUUCUCUGGAUGAGUUGCGAACGGGUGAGUAACGCGUAGGUAACCUGCCUGGUAGCGGGGGAUAACUAUUGGAAACGAUAGCUAAUACCGCAUAAUAGUAGAUGUUGCAUGACAUUUGCUUAAAAGGUGCAAUUGCAUCACUACCAGAUGGACCUGCGUUGUAUUAGCUAGUUGGUGGGGUAACGGCUCACCAAGGCGACGAUACAUAGCCGACCUGAGAGGGGGGUCGGCCACACUGGGACUGGGACACGGCCCCGACUCCUACGGGAGGCAGCAGUAGGGAAUCUUCGGCAAUGGACGGAAGUCUGACCGAGCAACGCCGCGUGAGUGAAGAAGGUUUUCGGAUCGUAAAGCUCUGUUGUAAGAGAAGAACGAGUGUGAGAGUGGAAAGUUCACACUGUGACGGUAUCUUACCAGAAAGGGACGGCUAACUACGUG
This 495-nucleotide ribosomal RNA is filed under the name uncultured bacterium. Its description in RNAcentral is "partial 16S ribosomal RNA". It matches the Rfam family "Bacterial small subunit ribosomal RNA", at positions 28 to 507 of the family's 1533-position model. The record is from RNAcentral.